RNAcentral lists this ribosomal RNA (119 nucleotides) under Pteropus alecto (black flying fox). Lineage: Eukaryota; Metazoa; Chordata; Mammalia; Chiroptera; Pteropodidae. The record is from RNAcentral.
GCCUACGGCCAUGCCACCCUGAACAAGUCCGAUCCUGUCCGAUCUCAGAAGCUAAGCAGGGUUGGGCCUGGUUAGAACUUGGAUGGGAGACCACCUGGGAAGACCAGGUGCUGUAGGCA